This is an RNA transcript of Tachysurus vachellii, 4550 nucleotides long. It is a transcript of the gene named cugbp, Elav-like family member 3a, with no coding region annotated. NCBI's taxonomy places the organism in Eukaryota, Metazoa, Chordata, Actinopteri, Siluriformes, Bagridae. The record is from RefSeq and is a predicted model, not a curated record. The transcript is spliced from 11 exons.
GGAACAGCAGGGGCGGUGAGGAGACCGAUUGAUCCUCACACUGACACUCAGAGGCUGCGCUGCUCCUGCUGCAAAAUGGCGGCCGGUAGCGAAGCUGCAAGCGGCCAUAGCCGCGGCUCAAGCGCUGUCCUCGAAUCCUCUUUAGAACGGCGAUUUCAAGGCGUCUCGAACACGAUGGAGUCGAUUCAAGGACUAUCGACGUGGUGCAUCGAGAACAAGAAAUAUCACAGUGUAAUCGUGCGGACCUGGCUGAAGUGGGUGCGAAAAUCGGACUCUUCUCAAAGGCUCAAUCUCUUCUACCUGGCCAAUGAUGUCAUUCAGAAUUGCAAGAGGAGAAAUGCGAUCGUCUACCGUACCACCUUCACUGAUGUUUUGCCCGAAGCUAUUAAACUCAUCAGUACUGUAAAAGACUCUAAGGUGCGGAAAUCCGUGGACAGGAUCCUGGCCAUCUGGGAAGAGAGAAAUGUUUACUCAGAUGAGUUUAUUAACAAGCUUAAAGGUGGUCUUAUUCAGCAAGAAGAACCACCAGUUUCAGCUCCCGUCACCCCAAAAGCUGCACUGAGAUCCAAGAUAGUUGCUGAGUUUUUGCCGUCAGCAUUUAUGGAGCAUCUCACCAAGUACAGAAAAUCUAUGGAUGAGAUUGAGCUAAGAGAGAAGCAGCUAGCUGCGAUGAGAGUGGAUGUCUGCAGCACAGUAGCUCUGAAGAAACUCAAAGAUAAAGCAGGUGGUAAGCGGUUUUCUAAAGAUUUUGAAGAUGGUAGUGCAAAACUGCAGGACUUCGUAGCCUUUCUGGAAGGAGAGGUUAAAAAAGGACCUUCUCUGAUGGAGGCUCUGGAGAAUGCUGACAUUUUCUAUGAGAUGCAGUACAAAGAGGUCAAGAUAGUCACCAAUGCUUAUCAGACUUUUGCCAAUCGUGUGUUGCAUCUCAAGAAGAAAUUGGAUGCAAUCAAAGCUUCUUUACCUGACCAAGAUGACUCACCAAUCCCUUCCCCCUCUGAGGACGCACCAUCACCCACGGGUUCUGAGUCACCCUUCCAUGGCUUAACGCGCAUUGGUACCCCAGACCCAGAGCUAGAUGGUAAGGCGUUGGAGGAGGACCUGAUUGCGCUCUGUGAUGCACCUAGCCCACUCUCAUCCCCUGGGGACAGAGACAAUCGUGACAUAGAGGACAUGGAGCUCUCAGAUACUGAGGACUUGGUGGAACCAGCCAUCAUAGUAUCAGAAAGGACAGAGCAACCUGGCCCUGCCAGUGUGUCCAAUCAGAGUCUGGCUCUUGGUGUGACUGAACCAUCUCAAUCCAUUCAGACUGCAACUGAGAAUGAAACUACAACACCAGCACCAUCCACAACCCCAAUAACAGGGUCCCUUCCCAUUAAUCUGGCGGGUGUGGAUUUGGGCAAAAUCAGCUCUAUUAUUAGCACACUUACAAAUGUCAUGAAGAACACUGCUACAGUAAGCCCAGCAUUUCGCUCUGCCACCAGUUCAUCAAGCACCCUUUCUUCAGCAAGUUCAACCCCCACGGUCUCUUCUUCGCCAGUCGUACCUGCAUCUAACUCGCUGGCGAAAAUACUUUCCCGGGUGGACAUCAACCCUGGCACCCUGCUGAACGUCCUGUCUAAAACCCAAUCACAAGGGAUUGGGCUUCAGGGACUGUCUUCUUUCCUGAACAGUCAAACUGCCAUAAACUCAAAUCCUACAGGCUCAAAUUUGGGCCCAUCCUCAGACCCCACUUUUAAAGCCCAUGAAUCUCCUAAUACCAAUUCAGUUUCACCUGCACCUACAGUGCUGAGAGGCAAUACCCCUCAAAGGGCUGGGACUCUCCAGUCUUCUCAAACUCCCAGCACUAUUCAGAGCAGGGAUCUUCAGAAGGAAGCCGAGGAACACAAAGAGGAGUCAGUUGUUUCUGUCAGCUCUACACUGGACUCCAAAAUUGAUGGAUUCCUUCAGGGCAAUCCAGGACUGAGAGGCUUAAAUAUGGGUUUACCACCUGUUCUUUCGUGGAAUAAAGCUGUUGAUAGUCCUUCAGCCAGCACAGAAAACCUUGGGGGAACUCCUGUGAGGGAUGAGUCUGGUGCAACACCAACUCAAGAUGAGGUCAUGGAUGAGCCUGCAGUACAACCAUUUUUGUAUCAAGGAAGACCUCUGCAAACAGCUUCAACAGCUGCUUCUGCACCCACAGCAGUCACUGGACUGCCUAUGUCCACGUUUCCUCCUGACUCCUGGCAAUAUGGUCCUGGGUCAGUUCAUAGUGGUGAUCACUACCAGAGAGACUUUACAGUAAAACAAAGUUUCCAAAGUUCCGGAAUGCCUCUUAGUGAAAGAGGGCGUCCUCAGAAUGUCGAGUCUUUGUUGCCAAUAUCAAUGGCAGACAAGAAUCAGAGCUUCAAUAAAAACAAUGAGACCCUGAAGGGAAUUAGCCUAGGGACACCUUUCUCUAGUAAUGGAGCAGACAAUGCUAGCGAUGGCUGGUAUUGUGAUGCACGUGGACAUGAUCAAAAGCAGCAUGUUAGCAACUCUGAAUCAUAUAAAGGAAAGCAGCAGCAGUCUGAAGAUCACAUACAUGAUACCAACCCUCCCAAUUUCUUCAACACCCCAUUACCACCCCCUCCACCAAUCCCUCAGCUUCCACCUCCACCUCAAGAAUUUCUCCCUCCAGUGGUAGGUCAAAGAGUCAAAGAUCCUACUGACUUGACCAGUAUCACAGACAACGUACAGACUGGUGGUGAUGUCGCACCCUAUCGCUUAACAAAUUCUGUUUCUCAUGAUGAUUACGAUGAGCGUCUCAAUCGGAUCCCAGUCAAGGAGAUUUUCCGUCCUCAUCUGAAUGCCCCAGGCCCACGGCAUUGUGCAACUGCUCCACAUCCUGUUCGCCUGGGCCCCCCGAAUGGCCCUAUGGACUUUAAUCAUCGUCCUAGAAUCCCUGUUCACAAUCAGCUUCACCCUUGUAUGGCUCGUCCAAGUGCCCCAUCUACUGUAAGGAGGUACCAUGAGGCUCUUAGUCCCUCACAUGCUCCGUCUGAUGAUGCAUAUUUGGACCCACACUGUGAUGCUCCCCCUCGCAGCCCUUCUCCUCCUCCUUACAAUGUCGAGCACCCUGUCUCACCUCACACUCCCACGUUUUAUCCAGAAGAGAGAGCCAUCAUGCCAAUGCACCAUCCAGAACCUAGAUUACGUCCCCGACUCGAGCACAGGACUCCUCCGCCACAUCACUAUCGCCCUCCACGGCCUGGUCACUUCCCACCACAGAGACCUCUUCGCCGUCCUCCACCGCCACAUCAUGUCCCUCAUCCCAAUGAGCCACCAUUCCAGAGAGGGAAGAGACUCGGCCCUCCUUUUGGAGCUCCUUCAAGACCCCCAGGUCCAUUUUAUCCUCCAAAAAGACCGUUCCUGCCACCGAGGUACUGAACUGUCUAAACAGUAGAGUACAGGAUUGACGUGCUGACAUCCACAUAAUGCCAAUCUUCCACUAGGCUUCAUAAGAUUAGACUCUGACAGUCAGUACAUGUAGAAAGAACACAGACCUCAUGCAGCUUGAGGACCUGUGCUCUCUGAGCGGCGAUCUCUACAUGGGCUGUGAAGGGAUGUGGCUGUGUCUUCGCGUAACGAGAGCGAGAGCAAGAGAGUGGGGGACAAAAAAGAUGACUGAAGUAGAAGAGAAUCACUACAGGGAUCUGGAAGGGAAGAUGGAUCAUGCAAGUGGAGCAGCCAUGAAAUUGCAAGAUAAAGAGAAAAUGAGGAUGGUAUUUCUGACUCCAGUGUGAAGUUGCUGGUCUGUCUGAGCUCUGACUGGUCUGUCACGGCCUUUCGUUCAGCGCCGAAGGAGCUAAAAGACUAGACGAAACAUCGUUCCUCUGGUCGCCUUCUGUGAGUGUGGGUGUUUGUGUGUGGGUGUUUUUAUUACUCGCUUUUAUUAUGCAGUGAGGUCUGUUUUGUGAUUUCUGUACUCUGGAACUCUCUCUCACUCUCUUCGUUCGGCUCUCCGUGAAGCCGUGCUUCUGUUUGACGGUGAUGUUUGUAUCAGAAAACUAAAAAAAAACCCCUAAGGAUUUACCUGAGUUUUCUCUGCGUUUAUCACCAUCUCGGGAUUGUAAAUCCUGGAGUCUUCUCCUUGCUCCUGCUUUUCUGCCCAUCUGAUCCCAAGGUUAGACAGGGAUUAUGGUUUUGACUCCAGAGCUUUUCUUCUUAAAUGACUUCUCCCAACUGUCACUGUCUUCACUUUAUAUCACAUUCUGUCCUAAAGGUUUUUAUCUCUUGUUACUGAUCGUUAAAAAAAAACUUCCAUAAAAGUGUUAAUCUUCUAUUAUGGAAUUCACAAAACACUUCUUUCUCUUUUUCUGCAGGGUAACGUGAGCUGCCCAAAAGUCUGUAGUAGAAACAUGGUGUUUGUGUCACCACGAUGAAGUUAAGAUCCUGACAGGUUAUGUUCUCUACACAACGUGUGUCCUUACGGUUGCUAACUCGGUACAGAGGAAAAGGUCACAUCACUGAUUUGGAUAAUAAACACGCAGCAAUGUGAAUUUCAUUAUGGCAGCUGUCUGCUUGUUUCAGGU